Serinus canaria (Common canary) is the source of this 664-nucleotide long non-coding RNA. RefSeq lists it as uncharacterized. The transcript has 4 exons. NCBI's taxonomy places the organism in Eukaryota, Metazoa, Chordata, Aves, Passeriformes, Fringillidae. The record is from RefSeq and is a predicted model, not a curated record.
CAGGCACCUGAGUCGGCGCCUAAGUCUGUAGGUGGGGCGGCGGGGGCCUCGUCAGUCGCCAUGUUGAGAGCGCCAUGUCGCGGACUCGCUUGACCUUCUCAAGGUGGCGGCAUAAAGGGCGGAUAAAUCGAGGUGCCCCCUCCGUGCCGGAGAGUGGCAGAAAGGUCCUGCUGCUUGCCCUGUCCUCGGUGGGCAGAGAGCUCUGACCUCCGCCGGAUGGGCUGCCAAUUCUGAAGCGCUCACCAGAGAUCUGCCUGGGAGGAGAAGCAGAGCCAAGCACUGAGAACUGACAAGUGAGCUCCGCCUUGACCCCUCUGGCUCAAAGACAGCACCUGGAUACGGAGGGAGGGAGGGAAAUCCUCUCUUCACAUGUGCCAGUUCAUCUGUGAAACUCAUCCCGGCAGGACAGCGUGAAGACUGAAAGUGUAAGAAGAUGUGGGGUGCAGUGGAGAAUGUGGCAGGAGCACCCAACACACAAGUGCACGAGUUUUGCUUUUUGCUUGGAUUGAAACUCAGAAGUUGUAAGGAAUUUGGGAAUGAGAUGGGAUGUUUCAGAAGAAGAGGAAGGAGGAGAAGAAGCAGAAAAAAGUAUUGUUACAGUCCUGGCAAAAUCUUUUUGUUCUAGCUAAUAAAAGAAGUUUUAAUGAAAAGGCAAAAAAUGUGU